UGGUGCAUAACAGCAUACAACAGGUUAAAAGGGAAACAGGUCAGAUGCCUGUGCGAACCCGUCACUGUAGGAGAGGAGUACAUGACCAUUGCGGGAGGAGUGAUCCCACCCGCGGUCACUGAAGCGUAAUGUGACGUUUGGACAACGUUACGCCGGAGGAUUAGCAGAAUGCUAUCCGAAGGAACUUUGGGAAGGCGGCCAUGUGCGUUGAUGCUCGAGCCAGGAAACCUGCCUAUCAU
RNAcentral lists this non-coding RNA (239 nucleotides) under bovine gut metagenome. The record is from RNAcentral.